UGACCUCGGAUCAGGUAGGAAUACCCGCUGAACUUAAGCAUAUCAAUAAGCGGAGGAAAAGAAACCAACAGGGAUUGCCCCAGUAACGGCGAGUGAAGCGGCAACAGCUCAAAUUUGAAAUCUGGCCCUAGGCCCGAGUUGUAAUUUGCAGAGGAUGCUUUUGGCGCGGUGCCUUCCGAGUUCCCUGGAACGGGACGCCAUAGAGGGUGAGAGCCCCGUACGGUUGGACACCAAGUCUUUGUAAAGCUCCUUCGACGAGUCGAGUAGUUUGGGAAUGCUGCUCAAAAUGGGAGGUAUAUUUCUUCUAAAGCUAAAUAUUGGCCAGAGACCGAUAGCGCACAAGUAGAGUGAUCGAAAGAUGAAAAGCACUUUGAAAAGAGGGUUAAACAGCACGUGAAAUUGUUAAAAGGGAAGCGCUUGUGACCAGACUUGCGUCCGGUGAAUCACCCAGCUCUCGCGGCUGGGGCAUUUUGCCGGCUCAGGCCAGCAUCAGCUUGCCGUCGGGGACAAAAGCUUCGGGAACGUAGCUCUCUUCGGGGAGUGUUAUAGCCCGUUGCAUAAUACCCUUCGGUGGGCUGAGGUACGCGCUCCGCAAGGAUGCUGGCGUAAUGGUCAUCAGCGACCCGUCUUGAAACACGGACCAAGGAGUCAACCUUAUGUGCGAGUGUUUGGGUGUUAAACCCCUACGCGUAAUGAAAGUGAACGCAGGUGAGAGCUUCGGCGCAUCAUCGACCGAUCCUGAUGUUCUCGGAUGGAUUUGAGUAAGAGCAUAUAGGGUUGGACCCGAAAGAAGGUGAACUAUGCGUGUAUAGGGUGAAGCCAGAGGAAACUCUGGUGGAGGCUCGCAGCGGUUCUGACGUGCAAAUCGAUCGUCAAAUAUGCGCAUGGGGGCGAAAGACUAAUCGAAC
This 908-nucleotide ribosomal RNA is filed under the name Colletotrichum truncatum. Its description in RNAcentral is "partial 28S ribosomal RNA". It matches the Rfam family "Eukaryotic large subunit ribosomal RNA", at positions 1 to 940 of the family's 3401-position model. Lineage: Eukaryota; Fungi; Ascomycota; Sordariomycetes; Glomerellales; Glomerellaceae. The record is from RNAcentral.